UCUUAUGGAAAUUAUUUUUUACUGUUGUAUACCAUUCCCAUUUGGAGAUUCAUCUCUUAAAUCCACUUGUGGUGUCUUUUCCACGGUUGGUUAUAUGAGUCUAAUUUGGCUUGAAAAAGUUAAUGCCAGAACAAACAGAUAUUUUAUUAGGAUUAUUCUUCUGAACUAACAUACUUUAUUGCCUCAGUUGAUCAGGUGAUUUAGGUAAUAUCUGAUGUAAAUUAAGUAAAUAAAACGUAAGAUUCAACUUUUGACAUGUUAAGCAGCAGGAUGCCAUGAAUACUCAUUGCCUGUCAGCUGUGCAUUCAGAUGCUAAUCGCCGCAUGUAAUCCUGCAAAAGGUACCGCCUAAAGGAUUGGCCCUAAGAGACGAGAGAAACAAGUUCUUCCCAUACUGGAAAUCGGUGUUGUCUGCUCGGCUGAUGGUGAAUAUAGUUCCACCUUGUGAACCAACCAUGAAGGACAAGAAGGCAAUGCAAGGUACUGAACCAGGCAGGAAGGGUGUCCAGGUCACAAACAAAUCAAGGGGGAAUUUGACCUCAGCGCCUCAGUUGGGGAGCAGAUAUGAAUGUAGAAGGCAGCUUUGCACUAUUGUUUUGAGGUCCCUGAAGGUGCUCAGACGCACUUGAAUAGAUAUCUGAUGAGAGCGUGCCUGUUGAAAUACCAUUCCUGGGUCUGAGGAAAGCAGAAGCAUCGGGGACAUGAAAAUGUUAUUUUUAUGGCCUGUACUUGUGAUUUGAAACCUUGAUGUCACUGUACUAUUUGGAAUAUUACUAUUCAAAGUUGACCUUCGAUGUAAUGU
Panicum virgatum (switchgrass) is the source of this 801-nucleotide long non-coding RNA. RefSeq lists it as uncharacterized. The transcript is spliced from 2 exons. The record is from RefSeq and is a predicted model, not a curated record. NCBI's taxonomy places the organism in Eukaryota, Viridiplantae, Streptophyta, Magnoliopsida, Poales, Poaceae.